AGGUGGUGCAUGGUUGUCGUCAGCUCGUGUCGUGAGAUGUUGGGUUAAGUCCCGCAACGAGCGCAACCCUCGUUCUAUGUUGCCAGCACGUAAUGGUGGGGACUCAUGGAAGACUGCCGGGGUCAACUCGGAGGAAGGUGGGGAUGACGUCAAAUCAUCAUGCCCCUUAUGUCUUGGGCUUCACGCAUGCUACAAUGGCCGGUACAAAGGGCUGCGAUACCGCAAGGUGGAGCGAAUCCCAAAAAACCGGUCUCAGUUCGGAUUGGGGUCUGCAACUCGACCCCAUGAAGUCGGAGUCGCUAGUAAUCGCAGAUCAGCAACGCUGCGGUGAAUACGUUCCCGGGCCUUGUACACACCGCCCGUCAAGUCACGAAAGUCGGUAACACCCGAAGCCGGUGGCCCAACCCUUGUGGGGGGAGCCGUCGAAGGUGGGACUGGCGAUUGGGACUU
Molecule: ribosomal RNA, 450 nt
Filed under: Janibacter terrae
Lineage: Bacteria; Bacillati; Actinomycetota; Actinomycetes; Micrococcales; Intrasporangiaceae
Description: bacterial SSU rRNA
Rfam family: Bacterial small subunit ribosomal RNA
Source: RNAcentral